UCGGAUUAGCUAGUUGGUGGGGUAAAGGCCUACCAAGGCGACGAUCUGUAGCGGGUCUGAGAGGAUGAUCCGCCACACUGGGACUGAGACACGGCCCAGACUCCUACGGGAGGCAGCAGUGGGGAAUAUUGGACAAUGGGCGGAAGCCUGAUCCAGCCAUGCCGCGUGUGUGAAGAAGGCCUUUUGGUUGUAAAGCACUUUAAGCGAGGAGGAGGCUACUCUAGUUAAUACCUAGAGAUAGUGGACGUUACUCGCAGAAUAAGCACCGGCUAACUCUGUGCCAGCAGCCGCGGUAAUACAGAGGGUGCGAGCGUUAAUCGGAUUUACUGGGCGUAAAGCGUGCGUAGGCGGCUGAUUAAGUCGGAUGUGAAAUCCCUGAGCUUAACUUAGGAAUUGCAUUCGAUACUGGUCAGCUAGAGUAUGGGAGAGGAUGGUAGAAUUCCAGGUGUAGCGGUGAAAUGCGUAGAGAUCUGGAGGAAUACCGAUGGCGAAGGCAGCCAUCUGGCCUAAUACUGACGCUGAGGUACGAAAGCAUGGGGAGCAAACAGGAUUAGAAACCCUUGUAGUCCAUGCCGUAAACGAUGUCUACUAGCCGUUGGGGCCUUUGAGGCUUUAGUGGCGCAGCUAACGCGAUAAGUAGACCGCCUGGGGAGUACGGUCGCAAGACUAAAACUCAAAUGAAUUGACGGGGGCCCGCACAAGCGGUGGAGCAUGUGGUUUAAUUCGAUGCAACGCGAAGAACCUUACCUGGUCUUGACAUAGUAAGAACUUUCCAGAGAUGGAUUGGUGCCUUCGGGAACUUACAUACAGGUGCUGCAUGGC
This 822-nucleotide ribosomal RNA is filed under the name uncultured bacterium. RNAcentral describes it as "bacterial SSU rRNA". It matches the Rfam family "Bacterial small subunit ribosomal RNA", at positions 236 to 1049 of the family's 1533-position model. The record is from RNAcentral.